This 1234-nucleotide ribosomal RNA is filed under the name metagenome. RNAcentral describes it as "bacterial SSU rRNA". It matches the Rfam family "Bacterial small subunit ribosomal RNA", at positions 273 to 1498 of the family's 1533-position model. The record is from RNAcentral.
GCUACGAUCCGUAGCGGGUCUGAGAGGAUGAUCCGCCACACUGGGACUGAGACACGGCCCAGACUCCUACGGGAGGCAGCAGUGGGGAAUUUUGGACAAUGGGCGCAAGCCUGAUCCAGCCAUGCCGCGAGAGUGAAGAAGGCCUUCGGGUUGUAAGGCUCUUUCGGACGGAAAGAAAUCGCACGGGCCAAUACCCUGUGUGGAUGACGGUACCGUAAGAAGAAGCACCGGCUAACUACGUGCCAGCAGCCGCGGUAAUACGUAUGGUGCGAGCGUUAAUCGGAAUUACUGGGCGUAAAGCGUGCGCAGGCGGUUGUGCAAGACAGGCGUGAAAUCCCCGGGCUUAACCUGGGAACUGCGCUUGUGACUGCACGGCUAGAGUACGGCAGAGGGGGGUGGAAUUCCACGUGUAGCAGUGAAAUGCGUAGAGAUGUGGAGGAACACCGAUGGCGAAGGCAGCCCCCUGGGCCGAUACUGACGCUCAUGCACGAAAGCGUGGGGAGCAAACAGGAUUAGAUACCCUGGUAGUCCACGCCCUAAACGAUGUCAACUAGGUGUUGGGUGGGUAAAACCAUUUAGUACCGGAGCUAACGCGUGAAGUUGACCGCCUGGGGAGUACGGCCGCAAGGUUAAAACUCAAAGGAAUUGACGGGGACCCGCACAAGCGGUGGAUGAUGUGGAUUAAUUCGACGCAACGCGAAAAACCUUACCUACCCUUGACAUGUACGGAAUCCUGAUGAGAGUUGGGAGUGCCCGAAAGGGAGCCGUAACACAGGUGCUGCAUGGCUGUCGUCAGCUCGUGUCGUGAGAUGUUGGGUUAAGUCCCGCAACGAGCGCAACCCUUGCCAUUAAUUGCCAUCAUUCAGUUGGGCACUUUAAUGGGACUGCCGGUGACAAACCGGAGGAAGGUGGGGAUGACGUCAAGUCCUCAUGGCCCUUAUGGGUAUGGCUUCACACGUCAUACAAUGGUCGGUACAGAGGGUUGCCAAGCCGCGAGGUGGAGCCAAUCCCAGAAAGCCGAUCGUAGUCCGGAUUGGAGUCUGCAACUCGACUCCAUGAAGUCGGAAUCGCUAGUAAUCGUGGAUCAGCAUGCCACGGUGAAUACGUUCCCGGGUCUUGUACACACCGCCCGUCACACCAUGGGAGUGGGUUCUACCAGAAGUAGCUAGUCUAACCGCAAGGGGGACGGUUACCACGGUAGGAUUCGUGACUGGGGUGAAGUCGUAACAAGGUA